UACACUCCUGCGGGAGGCAGCAGUGGGGAAUAUUGGACAAUGGGCGCAAGCCUGAUCCAGCCAUGCCGCGUGAGUGAUGAAGGCCCUAGGGUUGUAAAGCUCUUUCACCGGUGAAGAUAAUGACGGUAACCGGAGAAGAAGCCCCGGCUAACUUCGUGCCAGCAGCCGCGGUAAUACGAAGGGGGCUAGCGUUGUUCGGAUUUACUGGGCGUAAAGCGCACGUAGGCGGACUAUUAAGUCAGGGGUGAAAUCCCGGGACUCAACCCCGGAACUGCCUUUGAUACUGGUAGUCUUGAGUUCGAGAGAGGUGAGUGGAAUUCCGAGUGUAGAGGUGAAAUUCGUAGAUAUUCGGAGGAACACCAGUGGCGAAGGCGGCUCACUGGCUCGAUACUGACGCUGAGGUGCGAAAGCGUGGGGAGCAAACAGGAUUAGAAACCCUGGUAGUCCC
Molecule: ribosomal RNA, 448 nt
Filed under: uncultured organism
Description: partial 16S ribosomal RNA
Rfam family: Bacterial small subunit ribosomal RNA
Source: RNAcentral